UACGUAGGUCCCGAGCGUUGUCCGGAUUUAUUGGGCGUAAAGCGAGCGCAAGUGGUUUGUUAAGUCUGGUGUAAAAGGCAGUGGCUCAACCAUUGUAUGCAUUGGAAACUGGUAGACUUGAGUGCAGGAGAGGAGAGUGGAAUUCCAUGUGUAGCGGUGAAAUGCGUAGAUAUAUGGAGGAACACCGGUGGCGAAAGCGGCUCUCUGGCCUGUAACUGACACUGAGGCUCGAAAGCGUGGGGAGCAAACAGG
Molecule: ribosomal RNA, 252 nt
Filed under: uncultured bacterium
Lineage: Bacteria
Description: partial 16S ribosomal RNA
Rfam family: Bacterial small subunit ribosomal RNA
Source: RNAcentral